UAUACGAUGUGAGUUCUGCAGAUUUUAGAAAUAGGGACAAAAGGGAAUGUGCGGUGAAAGAAAUAGCCAGUAAGUUUGUCCUCUAAAAUUGCCUCGGCCAGCAAUUCAUUUUGCGCCGCCAUCUUGGAUGUUUACUUUCGUAUACUACGCAUGCGCUGUUAAGACAAUCCGUAAGCAAAAGGCUUUCGUUCGCCGCACACGGAAAGAUUUUGGCACGCGAGGCAGAAAUUAUCAAACAUGUUUGAUAUUUGGCGUAAGUGUUUGAUAUUUGGCGUAAGUGGCACGAAUGACAAAAGUUGUUCGUAAAUCUCCCGCACACGAGAGCUAUCUCCUUACGCCAAUGGGCACGAAUGAAAUUUGGCUAAGCACAUAGCUCCAGUGUGCGCCGGCCUUUACGCCAACAGUCACGAAUGACAUUUUGCUAAGCACAUAGCUCUAGUGUGCGCCGGCCUUAACGGAAAGGUACAGUAGGUAGCUGUGACGCCGGGUGAACUUGGGCAAGACCUAAAUUUCAACAAAACUCGCCGAUAAAAUAUUGCCAAACACUUCUAAAGCGGCUACACAUAUUUAUGUUUAUUCAAUCUUGCUAACUUGUAAAAUCCUUUCCCUCGCUUUUCCUUGAAGAAUUAGAACAACUUAAUGUAAACUAAAGUACUUUCUCCGAACUCGUGAGUUGAUCUGCCCUGGAACCAAACCGUUAAAAACGUUUCGAACUUCGUAACCGCACCUCUCGUUAAAAUAUUUCUCCUCAACCCUCCUAAUCUAUUAACAUGCAGUUAAUAGCAUCUAUUAACAUGG
Non-coding RNA from Paramuricea clavata, 798 nucleotides. NCBI's taxonomy places the organism in Eukaryota, Metazoa, Cnidaria, Anthozoa, Malacalcyonacea, Plexauridae. The record is from the annotation of a GenBank genome assembly.